AGUGAACGCUGGCGGUAGGCCUAACACAUGCAAGUCGAACGGCAGCACAGUGAGAGCUUGCUCUUACGGGUGGCGAGUGGCGGACGGGUGAGGAAUACAUCGGAAUCUACUUUUUCGUGGGGGAUAACGUAGGGAAACUUACGCUAAUACCGCAUACGACCUACGGGUGAAAGCAGGGGAUCUUCGGACCUUGCGCGAUUGAAUGAGCCGAUGUCGGAUUAGCUAGUUGGCGGGGUAAAGGCCCACCAAGGCGACGAUCCGUAGCUGGUCUGAGAGGAUGAUCAGCCACACUGGAACUGAGACACGGUCCAGACUCCUACGGGAGGCAGCAGUGGGGAAUAUUGGACAAUGGGCGCAAGCCUGAUCCAGCCAUACCGCGUAGGUGAAGAAGGCCUUCGGGUUGUAAAGCCCUUUUGUUGGGAAAGAAAAGCAGCAGGUUAAUACCCCGCUGUUCUGACGGUACCCAAAGAAUAAGCACCGGCUAACUUCGUG
Molecule: ribosomal RNA, 492 nt
Filed under: uncultured bacterium
Lineage: Bacteria
Description: partial 16S ribosomal RNA
Rfam family: Bacterial small subunit ribosomal RNA
Source: RNAcentral